Molecule: ribosomal RNA, 793 nt
Filed under: uncultured bacterium
Lineage: Bacteria
Description: bacterial SSU rRNA
Rfam family: Bacterial small subunit ribosomal RNA
Source: RNAcentral
AGAGUUUGAUCAUGGCUCAGAUUGAACGCUGGCGGCGUGCCUAACACAUGCAAGUCGAGCGGUAACAGGCGUAGCAAUACGUGCUGACGAGCGGCGAACGGGUGAGUAACGCUUCGGAAUCUGCCCAAUGGUGGGGAAUAACCAGCCGAAAGGUUGGCUAAUUCCGCAUGAGCCCUACGGGGGAAAGCGGGGGAUCGCAAGACCUCGCGCCGAUGGAUGAGCCGAAGCCGGAUUAGCUAGUUGGUAGGGUAACGGCCUACCAAGGCGACGAUCCGUAGCUGGUCUGAGAGGACGACCAGCCACACUGGGACUGAGACACGGCCCAGACUCCUACGGGAGGCAGCAGUGGGGAAUAUUGGACAAUGGGGGAAACCCUGAUCCAGCGACGCCGCGUGUGUGAAGAAGGCCUGCGGGUUGUAAAGCACUUUUAGUGGGGAUGAAAAGCUCAGGGCUAACACCUCUGGGUCUUGACCUAACCCACAGAAAAAGCACCGGCUAACUCUGUGCCAGCAGCCGCGGUAAUACAGAGGGUGCAAGCGUUAAUCGGAAUUACUGGGCGUAAAGCGUACGUAGACGGUUGGAUAAGUCGGAUGUGAAAGCCCCGGGCUCAACCUGGGAAUGGCAUUCGAGACUGUUCAGCUAGGGUGCGGAAGAGGGAAGCGGAAUUUCCGGUGUAGCGGUGAAAUGCGUAGAUUCGGAAGGAACACCAGUGGCGAAAGGGCUUCCUGGUCCAGCACCGACGUUCAGGUACGAAAGCAUGGGGAGCAAACAGGAUUAGAUACCCUAGUAGUCC